ACGGUCAGACCAUGCUGAAAGCACUGGUUCUCGACUGAUCACCGCAAUUAGGCAGCAGCGGGCGCGGUCAGUACUUGGGAGGGUGACCACCUGGGAACAACGCAUGCUGUU
This 111-nucleotide ribosomal RNA is filed under the name Araneus ventricosus. Lineage: Eukaryota; Metazoa; Arthropoda; Arachnida; Araneae; Araneidae. The record is from RNAcentral.